Non-coding RNA from Chiloscyllium plagiosum (whitespotted bambooshark), 1490 nucleotides. The record is from RefSeq and is a predicted model, not a curated record. Lineage: Eukaryota; Metazoa; Chordata; Chondrichthyes; Orectolobiformes; Hemiscylliidae.
UGGAGACUUUAGUUACAGGUAGUUCUCCCGUAACACGUAAUUAUUAAAUGUGAUUUAGCUGUCACGUGAUUAGUGAAUUGCCGCCUUUUUUUAAAUAAAAUGAACUCCUGAUUGCUGUUAUGCGAUUCCAUCCCCAGCACUUACCUGAACAGCAAAACCCAGCCUCAGGAUCUUCUGAUCUGCAAAAUCCAAAUUCAACGUGUGUUCAGCUAACACAGGAAUGCAAUCAGCUGUGCAAGCCUUGAAGCUGGGAAUUGUUGUCUACAUUUAGAAGGAACUUUAUUUCAAACUGGGCGGGGGGGGCAAUCUUGAGGAGGACUGAACUUUGACAUCAGCAUCAUGUGGUCAGUCGGAUCGUGGACUUUCUGGUGGAGAGCUUCGUGAAAGGAAUCAUGGAUGAAUCUGAACUGACACACUGCUGAUGUUGAAUGAAUUAAAUGUAGUGGAUGAUGAAUGAGGACAGGCGUUUCCAGUUGGAAAUCUGACAGCUAUAUUACAAAGUGACAAGAACUCUCUCAGCUCUAUCCAUCUGAGAAAAGAUAUUACCUGCAGCAAUUCAUAUGUUUGAGCUGGGCUGUUGGAAUUCCUACUUCUCCGAUGAAGAGCUGGCUCUCUUCCACCAAGGUCACUUCUGCCUGUGCUGCAGUAGAAGCUGAUGCAGCCACACAUUGUGUGAACCAGUUAACGGGUAUUUUUGACCCUUGGAGAUUAUGAAGCAGCCAUCCAUCACACAUCUGUCUUGAUUUUAUUUCCAUUAUAUGUGAAGAUCCAUCUAUUCUCCUGAACAGAAGUUAGAGGAAAAUAUGAACUUCAAUUGUUUGAGUGAGAUGGUUGAUUUUGUUGGAUAUUUGUACUCAUUCAAGAAAGUAAUUAUGAUUUUUAAUAGAAUAUUUUCCUAUUUUUAAUGCCAAUUUGUAAAAUCAAUAUUCCCAGUUUUAAAUAAAGUGGAUGGGAUUAUUUUUAUUCUUCCUAACAAUUGUAUUUAAGUCCAACCUUUAAAGUACACUUGCUCUUACACAGAUGUUAAAGUUUUCCAUAUUUUAUGCCAGUUUUCUUGCUUAUAGCUCACUGAGUGAGAUUGCCAAUUUAAAUGAAAAUUUCUGUCUCAGCAAUAUGGCUAUCUGACUGUAUAAUAGCUCUUGAUAUAGUUUAUAAAGUGGUUCCCUGUUUUGCUUCAUAUGGUUUAGAAAAUAUUUUUAUCUUUUAAUUCCUGGAACUCCCUCUCUAAUGAUAUUGUAGGUGUACCAACACCAAAUGGAUUGUAGUGAUUUAAGGAGACUGCUCACCACCACCUUCCCAAGGGCAAUUGGCAUGGGCAAUAAAUGCUGGCCCAGCCAGCAACUACCACAUCACCAAUGCAGGGAAGGCUCAGCAAAACAUAUGCCAAAAAGGCAAUGGUGAGUCCAACAACGAGCCUUCACUUGGAAUCAAGACCCCAGGAGUGAAAGUCUCACCCAUGCGAGGGCUCUUGGACAGUACGACUUUUUGUU